AUCAGAUUGUUUUGUUGUAGGAUG
This 24-nucleotide microRNA is filed under the name Brachypodium distachyon (stiff brome). Its description in RNAcentral is "bdi-miR7747-5p". Lineage: Eukaryota; Viridiplantae; Streptophyta; Magnoliopsida; Poales; Poaceae. The record is from miRBase by way of RNAcentral.